Molecule: ribosomal RNA, 240 nt
Filed under: uncultured bacterium
Lineage: Bacteria
Description: partial 16S ribosomal RNA
Rfam family: Bacterial small subunit ribosomal RNA
Source: RNAcentral
GUGGUCCUACGGGGGGCAGCAGUAGGGAAUCUUCCACAAUGGGCGCAAGCCUGAUGGAGCAACACCGCGUGAGUGAAGAAGGGUUUCGGCUCGUAAAGCUCUGUUGUUGGGGAAGAACGUGCGUGAGAGUAACUGUUCACGCAGUGACGGUAUCCAACCAGAAAGUCACGGCUAACUAUUUGCCAGCAGCCGCGGUAAUACGUAAGUGGCAAGCGUUAUCCGGAUUUAUUGGGCGUAAAG